UGCCAGCAGCCGCGGUAACACGGGGGGCGCAAGCGUUAUUCGGAAUUAUUGGGCGUAAAGGGCGCGCAGGCGGUCUUGUCCGUCAGGUGUGAAAGCUCGGGGCUCAACCCCGGAAGUGCACUUGAAACAGCAAGACUUGAAUACGGUAGAGGAGAGAGGAAUUCCUGGUGUAGAGGUGAAAUUCGUAGAUAUCAGGAGGAACAUCAGUGGCGAAGGCGACUCUCUGGACAACUCCUGACACUGAGGCACGAAGGCUAGGGGAGCAAACAGGAUUAGAUA
RNAcentral lists this ribosomal RNA (279 nucleotides) under uncultured bacterium. RNAcentral describes it as "partial 16S ribosomal RNA". It matches the Rfam family "Bacterial small subunit ribosomal RNA", at positions 506 to 784 of the family's 1533-position model. The record is from RNAcentral.